RNAcentral lists this ribosomal RNA (526 nucleotides) under uncultured bacterium. RNAcentral describes it as "bacterial SSU rRNA". It matches the Rfam family "Bacterial small subunit ribosomal RNA", at positions 355 to 896 of the family's 1533-position model. The record is from RNAcentral.
UAGGGAAUAUUGCUCAAUGGGCGAAAGCCUGAAGCAGCAACGCCGCGUGUGCGAUGAAGGUCUUCGGAUCGUAAAGCACUUUUCUGAGAGAUGAGAAAGGACAGUAUCUCAGGAAUAAGUCUCGGCUAACUACGUGCCAGUAGCCGCGGUAACACGUAGGAGGCGAGCGUUAUCCGGAUUCACUGGGCGUAAAGCGCGUGCAGGCGGUUUGGUAAGUUGGGCGUGAAAGCUCCCGGCUCAACUGGGAGAGGUCGUCCAAUACUACCAGACUUGAGAGCAGAAGAGGAAGAUGGAAUUCCCGGUGUAGUGGUGAAAUGCGUAGAUAUCGGGAGGAACACCAGUGGCGAAGGCGAUCUUCUGGUCUGUUUCUGACGCUCAGACGCGACAGCUAGGGUAGUAAACGGGAUUAGAGACCCCGGUAAUCCUAGCCGUAAACGAUGUGAACUUGGCGUUGGUGGCUUAAACACCAUCAGUGCCGAAGCAAACGCGAUAAGUUCACCGCCUGGGGACUACGGCCGCAAGGUUA